GAUGAACGCUGGCGGCGUGCCUAAUACAUGCAAGUCGAGCGAACAGACGAGGAGCUUGCUCCUCUGACGUUAGCGGCGGACGGGUGAGUAACACGUGGAUAACCUACCUAUAAGACUGGGAUAACUUCGGGAAACCGGAGCUAAUACCGGAUAAUAUAUUGAACCGCAUGGUUCAAUAGUGAAAUACGGUUUUGCUGUCACUUAUAGAUUGAUCCGCGCCGCAUUAGCUAGUUGGUAAGGUAACGGCUUACCAAGGCGCCGAUGCGUAGCCGACCUGAGAGGGUGGUCGGCCACACGGGAAGGGAGACACGGUCCAGACUCCUACGGGAGGCAGCAGUAGGGAAUCUUCCGCAAUGGGCGAAAGCCUGACGGAGCAACGCCGCGUGAGUGAUGAAGGUCCUCGGAUCGUAAAACUCUGUUAUUAGGGAAGAACAAAUGUGUAAGUAACUAUGCACGUCUUGACGGUACCUAAUCAGAAAGCCACGGCUAACUACGUG
This 497-nucleotide ribosomal RNA is filed under the name uncultured bacterium. RNAcentral describes it as "partial 16S ribosomal RNA". It matches the Rfam family "Bacterial small subunit ribosomal RNA", at positions 28 to 507 of the family's 1533-position model. The record is from RNAcentral.